This 329-nucleotide unclassified non-coding RNA is filed under the name soil metagenome. Its description in RNAcentral is "partial contains 5.8S ribosomal RNA, internal transcribed spacer 2, and large subunit ribosomal RNA". The stretch from base 1 to 120 matches the Rfam family "5.8S ribosomal RNA", at positions 35 to 154 of the family's 154-position model. The record is from RNAcentral.
GAUGAAGAACGCAGCGAAAUGCGAUAAGUAAUGUGAAUUGCAGAAUUCAGUGAAUCAUCGAAUCUUUGAACGCACAUUGCGCCCCUUGGUAUUCCGGGGGGCAUGCCUGUUCGAGCGUCAUUUCAACCCUCAAGCUUCUGCUUGGUCUUGGGCCGUGCCGGCAACGGCUGGCCUUAAAACUAGUGGCGGUGCCAUCGAGCUCUACGCGUAGUAAUUCUAUCUCGCGUCUGGGCUUCGGUGGACGCUGGCCAGCAACCCCCAAUUUUCUAUGGUUGACCUCGGUCAGGUAGGGAUACCCGCUGAACUUAAGCAUAUCAAUAAGCGGAGGA